GUGUGGAUAUUCAACUUGUAGAUAUUGCCAAAUUAUUUUCCAAAGUUGUACAAAUUUAUACAAGCCAGGGAAAUAAACACACACGAUCAUCACAUACAAACAAGCGUGUGUGUGUGUAUGUGUAUGUGUGUCUGUGUGUGUGUUGAAUUGCCUUUCUUUGGCAUAGAGCUUUGGAGAACAUCUUGCUGGUAUUUCUAAAUGCAGUUGAAUGACAAUGUGGCAACAUCUUUAAUAUAAGAAAAAAAGGAAGAAAAGGGAAAAAAAGGAAAAAUAAGGUAGACCUCCCAAGGAUAAAAGCUUGCUGGUUACUUACCAGUAAAGUCAAAAAUUAUUAAAAAAAAAAAAAAAAUUCUUGAAGUCUCUAUUAUUCAGGAAUGAUUAUUCACAUCUCUUGCUUCAGCCACACAUUCCUUACCUCUUCUGAAUGGAUAUGUAUUUAAUGAUUUGAAAUCCAGAGUGAACUUAGUAGCUUUGAUCAUGAAAAUGAACUAAAAUUAAUUUUACGGUUAACUGACAUGAUGUCCAGCUAGUUACUGAACUUGAUGGUCUGCCCUUCUAGUGUGGCUCUGAGUUUCCAUGAGCUUUGGAAGAAGUUGGCAUCCAUUUGUUCAAUUACCAGCCCACUGUCAGGUCACUUCCAGAGAGAGGUGACCAGUGUAUGUGUCUCAUGUGGAGGUGACGUGGGCACAUGGAGUGCCUUUCUUCUUCAUUCAGCCAGCAUUUAUUGAACACGUGGUAUGUGCCAGAUGCUGAAUUAGGUGCUGGGUCAUGAACAUGUCUGCCCAAAAGACUCUACCAGAACCAAAUCACUGUUGAAUAUGUAUGCAUGUGUGUGGGGUGGAUCUGGCUUUGGUUUCAGAAUUUGCAUGAAGUAUCUAUUUUUUCUUUUGUUCCCUAAACUUUUUCCAGAUUUAUGUUUAGACCUCCUUGAGUUGAGAGCGCUUUGGGGAAAAAAAAAAAAAAUGCAGCCCAUGCAAAGAACAGUUAGUUUAAACGUAGUUGUAUUUUAUUGGCUUUUUAAAAGUGGAAGGCUUUAAAAGGACUUACUCAGGAUAAGUCCUUUUGUCAUGCAGACACUUGAGUGUUACCAAAUAGGAGGAAGACAGAGGUCAGGGAAGGGCUCUUUGGAUGGGUGAAUUCAGAUUUGUUGGGAACAUAAUUUAGUGUUGAAUUGAUUUUUAAAGGGAAAAAUAGAAAAUAGACAAAGAUGAAUGUUUAUUGAGAGACCCAAUGUGGUAUUACAGGGAAUUGAGUCUAUUGAGUCAUGACGAUCUAAAGAUGAAGUUCCUGGUGGGUUAUAGGAAUCCGUUUUCUUGUAAGUUUGUGUUUACUUAUUUUGGGUAUGUGUAAAUGUACUUUUUAUUUAUUUAUUUAUCUUUUGCUUUUUAGGGCCACACCCGCAGCAUAUGGAGGUUCCCAGGCCAGGGGUCAAAUCAGAGCUGCAGUUGCUGUACUACACCACAGCCACAGCAACGCCAGAUCUGAGCCACAUCUGUGACCUACACCGCACCUCAUGGCAAUGCUGGAUCCUUAACCCACUGAGCAAGGCCAGGGAUCAAACCCACAUCCUCAUGGAUCCUAGUCAGGUUUGUUAACCGCUGAGCCACGAAGGGAACUCCUAAAUGUACUUUUUAUAGUAAAAUAAAUCAGAGUGUAAAUGUUAAAUAUCUGUAAACGGAUUAUGUUAAUGGGGUGGUGAAUUAUGGGAAGCAGAAACGUCCAAGGACUCUUACAGUGCUCUGGCAGAUUACUUCAAAGUAAAAACUACCUUAUGUGAGGGAAUUCCAUCCGACGGGGCUAGUGUCUCAAGAAAUCUGUAUAGGAAGCCGACAAAAGCCAGAGUGAGAAAGGAGCCCAAACCAAGAAGUUUGAUAUCCACGACUAUCUAAGGGAUCACUGGGUUAGAGAGAGCAUUAAGUUUAUAACUUAACUCUUAAAUAAGUUUAAGUAAGUAAAUAAAUAAUUAAGCUUAGGUAAAUAAAAAUGAGUUUAAAUAGGUAAAAAACAUUUAAGUAAAAUAUUGGCAGGCAGUCAUUUAACAUGUUUCACUGAGUACAAAGAAUUCAUGAUUAAUACACAAAAAUUACCUACUUUAUUAUUUUUAUGGCUGCACCUGCAGCAUAUGGAAGUUCUGCCAGGGAUGGAAUCCGAGCCCACAGCUGCAACCUAUGCCCCAGCUGCAGCAAUACUGGAUCAUUUAACCCAUUGCUCCUGGCCAGGGAUCAAACCCAUACUUCCCCAAGCAACCUGAGUUGCUACAGUCAGAUUCUUAAUCAACUCCACCAUGGUGGGAACUCCUUUCUUUUCCUUUAUUUGUAAAAUAUGUGAAGAAAGUACCCAGACACUAGAAAUACUUACAUUUGCUUGAUGUGGUGAUGCUUAAAUGACCUUUAUGUUAGAUUCAUAAGGUGUUAGAGCUGAAAGAGGUUUAAGAAACUUUUUUUUCCAAUUCUAACUUCUCCCAUUUUCCAGGUGGAAAAAUUGAGGCACAGAGACUUGCCCAGUGAGGCACAGCUCCAUUAGUAUAUAAUAUGUCAAAUAAUUUACAUCUGUUCAUGGUAAUAGGAAAUAAAACUCUUUCCUAAUUUUAGGUAGGUGAAUAAGAAAAUGAACCAAUAGCAACCUCUACAGUGGAUUUUAGGCUUCCUUUCUAUCAUUCUCCUUGAGUGCUUGGUACAGGAAGUGAAAUCAAACAUAUACUUUUAAAUUUCCUUAGAUUUCUAGAGAACAAAGGUUUUUGAGGGUAUGAUGAGGGAAUUAACCACCACAAAUAUCAUUAUUUAAAAUUUUCUGGUGUUUGCUAUUUCAAGACCCAUAGCUUUGUCUUUUAACUCAAUGGACAGGAAAGGACAGAAAAAAUUAAAUUAUCUUCUGCUUUUCUCUUUUCCCUUGUCAUUCUUUUUCCAUAAGCUAAUAUGAGACAAAAACAGAAGAAUAGAGGGAAUUGAGACAGGAAUAGAACAUCAACUCUUACCUUUUUUAUCUUGCAUCUUAUUGAGGCAAUUCUCACUGUAGCUCUUGAGACUGACCUAUCCACCUCCUGAAAAGAGUGUAGAAGUAGAAGGGGUAACAACGCAGUAUAUUUUUAGAAUCUUUUUUUUUUUUUUUCUCCAAAAGUCAAAUCUAAAAUAAACCUGGCCUCAAUUUCCAGCAAUAGAUUUAUUUCUCGGCUCCUAAAUCAGUGCUUAAGUUUUAUCAUAAAUUUGAAGAAGUUAUCCUGAUUUUUUUUUAAUGCACAAUACAGUGUUGCUACAAGUAACAUACUGUGAUCAACUACUGAAGUUUGAAGAAUGAAGUAUCUAGAAGAACAUUAAAAUGCAGAAGAUUUUGUUACAUGUCAUUUCUGGAGAUAAAGGCGAAAGUCUGAUUUUAUUUUAAAUUAAGAUAAGAUUUCUGUUUUCUGUUUAUCUGUGGCAGCUAGGCAAGCUUUUGCAUAUUCACACCCCAUCAGGCAACAAUCUGAACAGUUUUUGUUGUAUAAUUUCCCCAGAAUAGAAAAAGUAGCACAAUUUGAAUGGCAUGUUGAUUAUGAAAAGACAUUAAUGAAAUUCUUUUUGAUCUCAAUAAAUUUCAAUUUGAAGCAAGAACUAUAAAAAGAGUAUGAUCUCUGAUGUAGGCCAAGCAAAUGUAGGAUCUCUGUGAAACUCCAAGAAGAAAGCAAGGGAAAAGGAGAGAUCAAAACCCAUAAGAACUCAGGAUAAUGGAAUAGGCAGGUCAGGGAAGGAAGUACAUGGAUAUUCUAUCCCAGCUUGUCCUCCAGUUUCAUUUCAAAAAAUACCAGCAGAGAAAAUAAAAAGUGUGACUCUGAAGGCUUGUGGAGAUGAGAUAUUAUAGAAGAUGUCUACCUGGACUUUUUUUUAAAAAAGCUUUUAAACAUCUUGAAGAACACAGAGGCAUAAGGUAAAAGAUGGGUAAAUUAAACUUCAGGAGUUCCUGUCAUGGCUCAGCAGAAAUGAAUCUGACCAGUAUCCAUGAUGACGCAGGUUUUAUCCCUGGCCUCGUUCAGUGGGUUAAGGAUCUGGCAUUGCUAUGGUUGUGGCAUAGGCCAGCGGCUACAGAUGCAAUUCGACCCCUACCUGGGAAUCUCCAUAUGCCGUGCAUGUGGCCCUGAAAAGACGAAAAUAAAUAAACUUAAUUUAAGGAAAGGUAGUAUGUGUAACAGGCAGAAUAUAAACAAUCAUCACACCAAGGAGAAACUAUUUAUAAUGUAUCAUAGACUAAGGGUAACUCGUUAAUAUCCACAGAACUCCUCUGUAUCAGUGAGAUAAAUGACCUAAUAGAAAAAAGGAGCAAAGGAAAUGAACAAACAGUUCACUGAAAAGGAAUUACUAGCAGUACUUACAGAUAUGAUAUGCUCAGCUCAUAAGAGAAAUGCAUUUUUAAACUAUUUAGCCCUAUUAAAUUGGCAAAGACCUUAAUAUUUUUAAAUUCCUUCAGGGCAGCAAGGCUUUGGGGAAGCUGACAGACUCAUACAUUGUUUGUAGGGGUACAGAAUGGCACAGCAUCUGUGGAUAGCAAUUUGGAAUAUUGCCUAAAUUAAAAAUCCACCUACCUGGUCAUCCUAGGAUAUCUAAGAAAAAUUUCUGCAGAUGAAUUUCUGCAUCACAAAAUGAAUCCAUACCAAGACAUCCACUGUGGCAUUGCCUGUAAUAACAAAAGAUUUAGAGAGAGCUAAAUAUCCAUCAAGAUGAGAUUGGUUAAAUAAGGAGCUGUUAAAAAGAAUGAAAUCAUUCUGUAUUUGCUGAUGCGGAAUGAUCUCUCAGCUGUAAUAAAGGAAGAAACCAAGGUGCAGCAGAGUAUAUGGCCAUUGGUGUUAAAUAUGAGUUUAUAAAUAUGUGUUUAUGCUUGUGACUGUGGAGACUGGUAACACAAACUGGUAGCAGUGAUUGCCUCUGGGAAAGAGAACUGGGUAGUUGGGGUGGGAAUGGGAAGAACACUGUUUGGCACACUAAUUUAGUAGACCUUUAAUUACCAAUUUAAAAUAUCCGAACAGGGAGUUUCCAUCAUGGCGCAGUGGAAAUGAAUUCAACUAGGAAACCUGAGGUUACAUGUUCGACCCCCUGGCCUCUCUCACUGGGUUAAGGAUCCAGCGUUGCCCUGAGCUGUGGUGUAGGUCGCAGAUACAGCUCAGAUCUGGCAUUGCUGUGGCUAUGGUGUUGGCUGGCAGCUGUAGCUACAAUUGGACCUCUAGCCUGGGAACCUCCAUAUGCCAUGGGAGCGGCC
RNAcentral lists this long non-coding RNA (5223 nucleotides) under Sus scrofa (pig). RNAcentral describes it as "lncRNA (ENSSSCG00045010391.1)". The record is from RNAcentral. Lineage: Eukaryota; Metazoa; Chordata; Mammalia; Artiodactyla; Suidae.